This 246-nucleotide ribosomal RNA is filed under the name uncultured bacterium. RNAcentral's name for it is "partial 16S ribosomal RNA". It matches the Rfam family "Bacterial small subunit ribosomal RNA", at positions 524 to 765 of the family's 1533-position model. The record is from RNAcentral.
UACGAAGGGGGCUAGCGUUGCUCGGAAUGACUGGGCGUAAAGGCGCGUAGCGGCUGUGACAAGUCACCGUUUGUGAAAUCUCCGGGCUUAACUCGGAACGGUCAAGUGAUACUGUCGGUGCUAGAGUACAGAAGGGGCAACUGGAAUUCUCGGUGUAGCGGUGAAAUGCGUAGAUAUCGAGCAGGGAACACCUGCGGCGAAGGCGGGUUGCUGGGCUGAUACUGACGUGAGGAGCGAAAGCGUGGG